UGAGAUAAAGCUCAGUGGUUGAGCCCGUGCUUCGCAUGCAUGAGGUCCUGGGUUCAGUCCCUAGUACCUCCA
This 72-nucleotide transfer RNA is filed under the name Camelus bactrianus (Bactrian camel). It matches the Rfam family "tRNA". Rfam says of the family: Transfer RNA (tRNA) molecules are approximately 80 nucleotides in length. Their secondary structure includes four short double-helical elements and three loops (D, anti-codon, and T loops). Lineage: Eukaryota; Metazoa; Chordata; Mammalia; Artiodactyla; Camelidae. RNAcentral also lists the same sequence under 2 other names. The record is from Rfam by way of RNAcentral.